UCCACAAUAGCUCAGCGGUAGAGCAAUCGGCUGUUAACCGGUUGGUCGUAGGUUCGAAUCCUACUUGUGGAGCCA
Molecule: transfer RNA, 75 nt
Filed under: Rickettsiales bacterium
Lineage: Bacteria; Pseudomonadati; Pseudomonadota; Alphaproteobacteria; Rickettsiales
Description: tRNA-Asn
Rfam family: tRNA
About the family: Transfer RNA (tRNA) molecules are approximately 80 nucleotides in length. Their secondary structure includes four short double-helical elements and three loops (D, anti-codon, and T loops).
Source: RNAcentral